This is a non-coding RNA of Xyrichtys novacula (pearly razorfish), 24943 nucleotides long. The record is from the annotation of a GenBank genome assembly. NCBI's taxonomy places the organism in Eukaryota, Metazoa, Chordata, Actinopteri, Labriformes, Labridae.
CAAGUGCUGCCGCCUAGCGGCGAGGCGGCAAAAUAACAUGUUUAGAUUUCCAAAUAAUGUUAUGGAGGUCGUGAAUCCCAAAAACAAGUUUGCCGGAGGAAAGUACAGUGAAUGUGCUGCCCUUCUUCUCAAAACUCUCACAUGUACACAGAGCAAAGCGAAACACGACUGAGGUGAGUGUUUUUAUUAUUUCUUUGGCUGUGUACUUUCACUUAAGGUUACAGUCUGUCUUCUUUAAAUUAGCAUACCUAGCAUCAACCUUAAAUGCGUUCACUUUCCUUACUGUUGGCUUCCUAUUCGUGAACUUCAAGUGUUAUGUCAACAAAAUAAGUUCCUUGCUGAGCAGGCUUCUUGCAGCACCUUAAAAAAGUCUUUAAAAGUCUUGGGUAAGACUUAAAAUUUUAGGUCAUACAAUAUACAAACACAUUUUUUUACUCACGAGAGGUCUGAUAUUUUAGAUGGUACUGGAAACGAGGCAAGGACUUUAAAAUCCACAUAAACAAUCACUUUUGACUCACACAGUUAGAGCAUUUCUUUUAUUAUAUUGAGCAUCCAUAAUUUACUAAUUUACUGCUUCUGAUCUGACUCUGCAGACACACCAAAUAGUCACUGAUAGGUGUCCCCUGAGUUGAAAUGUUACAUGGACAUGUCUGAGUACUUAACCAAAUCUACCUUAAUUAUUGAACAUUUAUAUUUAUUUAGGAUUUGCUUGUGAUAAUUUAUGGUAUUUAGGGCAGCGUAUUACAAACCCAUUCAAAAAAUGCAUAUACAAGAAAGAGGAAGAUGACAAAAAAGUACAGAAAUAAGGGAAAUUUGACUUAAGGAUGGAACAAGUAGGAAACUGAAUCGUGUGUAGAACAGUGUAAAAGGAAUACAGUGUAAACAGUGUAUAGUAAAUACAGUAACCCAGGAUGAAGGGCACAUUCAUGAUUGGCUUAGCAUUAGAGUGAGAAUUAGAGUUUGUGGGGUGACGGAGCUCAAGGAAGAACAUUUAUGAUCAUUACUUUAUUUCCUUGAAGUAAAAAUCACCAAAUUAAUCAUUUUGCUCUACAGACGUGGUAGUUCUUCUGCCUUAGUGUCUCAGUCUGAUUGCAUUUCCAUUGAGAAAUGAUCAUAAAUGUUCUUCCUUGAGCUGCAUCACCCCGCAGCAGUCUGUAAUGGACUGGCCUGAGGUCUCCGUAUAAACAAGCGGCUGCUGGAAGAGAGUAGGUGAGUUUUGUUUAGUCUCUUUGCUAAAGAAAUCAGGUAAAGCUUAAAAGAUGUUUGGUGGCUAGUGCUGUGGCUGGGACCCUAUACUGUUGAUGAAGUUAGGUGCUGUUCUGAGCAUUAUUUGUGGCUAUAGAGUGGCUUUUUGGUUGAGCAAGUGGCUCUCUGUAUUGCUAUCGUGUAUUGCUAAAGUCGGCCUCAACUAGAGAAGCAAGGGGUCGGCAACAUUCAUCUCUCGAAGGGGUGUCUAACUCGGUGUUACGGUGUGUUUGAUCUUAAUUAAUUUUACGUCGGAAUAUCCCUUUAACAUACUCUUGAGUUUCCUGUAAAUGUGAACAUCCAGGCCUAUAACUCCAAUGGUAUAAAACAUACAGUAUGUGAUAGUAAUGUGGUUCCAAGUGUUCAAAAUACAUCCUUGUGUGAAUAUGGGUCAUAUUUUCCCUGUUUGUUUUAGCAUGAACUCCUGCCACUAGAUGGCAGCAAAUGCAUUUCUAACAGACCUAGCUGUAAAUACAGUGAGAGUGAAAGUAGAGAGGAAAACUGUUGUACCUGUGCUGCAGUUUGAUGAAUGGAUGUGGAAGAACUGAUGGCGACUGAUGACUUCCUGAUGAGCAUUUCCUUCCACGAAGCGUUUGUGCUGAUUAAUUGUUCUGUCGAAUCAUAACCGCUGACAGUGAAAAUUACCCCACAGCAUUUGAUUUUCCAUUUCCUUAUAAUGCUGCCACUUACAACCCACAUAGACCUCUAAUUAAACCUCUAAUAUUGUGCUCAACAUGGUGUGGGCUUUUUGAAAGUGCCUCUGGAGGCUUGGUGUUUGUAAAUCUUCACAUCCCGGAAAUCAUGUGCUAGAACACCACGUAUCAAGCUGUGUAAAAAGCCUCCAUGUAAAGAGCAUACAAAUGCUCAGAACACUUGAGGGACUGCAAGUAGCAUGUUUUCAUCAUGAGAGGAAGCUCAGUGAUCUUCCCUUAAAGUGCCUCUAGAGCAUUUUUGUGGAGCUAUCAAAUACUGUAAGCUAAUAGAUCUUACACAUAGGCCCACACACACACACUGUACUCCCUGUGGGGGAAUUGUAUAUCCCAAACCGCUCAGAUGGAGGGAAACUGGUUCUCUCCCAGGACAGGGGAUCCUGGGAUUUAGUCACUGGUCCUGCUGAAUACUGUAGGCUAUUAGAUUUAGAUUAAGAGAAGUGCCCUCCGCUGAGUUACAGUUCCCUCUUUGGUUUCUUGUAUGUAUUGAAGCCCUCAGGGUGUGUUAUAACCAGAUAAUGAUUCUAAUCUCAUUCCCACCAAAUCAAGACCAUAAUCAAUAACUGUAAUUGUUACUUAUCACAAUCUACAGGGGAUUUUUUUCAAUCAAUUGACUAAUCAAUUUGGUCUUUUAUGUCAGAAAUGACUAAAUAGUAUUCAUUAUUGAGACCCAGUAUUCAACAUAAGCUGAAGAUACACUGCUGGAACUUUCUCGUAACUACCUCGAAAAGGUUCCUGCACCUGGUUCCCAACACUAGGACUUUGGGGAGGGGGUCUGUCAGACUUAAAAUUUCAGGACAGUUGAGCCUCCACUUUCAGAAACUUGAAAAACCUCAAGUGGGCGGCAGUAGCUCAGGAGGUAGAGCAGUCGUCCAAUUACUGGAAGGUUGGUGGUUCGAUUCCCCCCUAUCCUGAGUCUGUCCGUUGUGUCCUUGGAGAAGACGCUUAACCCACCUUGCUCCCAGAGUGUGUCCUCCACUGAUGUAUGAUUGUGAGUGUUGUGUGGAGAGCCCGUAGGCGCAAACUGGCAGCCAUGUUUCCGUCAGUCUGCCCUAGGGCAGCUGUGACCACAAAGGAAGUUUACCACCACCAAGGUGUGACUGUGUGUGUGAAUGAAUGAUGUAUCCAAUGUAAAGCACUUGAAGGAUCUCUGAAGAAAUGCUAUGUGAAAUCUGAUGCGUUAUUUUAUUAUUAAGUGAUGUCAAGUUAGAAGUGGUUUGGACUUUAAAUUGUAGGUGAUGUGUUUGUAGGUUGAAUACAGGUAGAUUUAAACAGCUGUGAUGAUCCUGGUUUAAACAUAAAAGAAAAUAUAAGAACUUACUGGUAUGACUGAAAGCAUAUUUGCCAAAAACUUAUUUGACAUGUACUUUAACCCUCUUGUUUGACCCAUUUUCCACUUGUUACACUGAAAGAGGUAGUCAGGGGGAGCUUUACAAUUGAUACAGUAGUUAUUGUUCUGUUGCAUAUACCAUCAGUAGGGCUGGGCGAUAUGGGAAAAAGUUUAUCAUAUAUUUUUUUCAUAUCAGUCUAUAUUAAUAUAUAUCACAACAUAAAAAAAAUCACUAGUCAAUCUUAAAUGUUCCCUGGUACUCUUAAAUGAAAUGUAACAGUGCUUAUUGGUAGCAUGUCUUUUUUAAUACAAUAAGCUACUGCAUCUGUGUCGUCUUUGUGUCUCUUUGACGUUUUGUCGUUAGGAGUUGCGAUAUAAAAGCAGAAUGGUCAGCUGUUUCGGCUGCACAAGUGCUAUAGUUGUGUGUAGCUGCAGCCUGUUACUACGCAGUUGUUUGCUACUUAGUUGUAAUUCAGCACAUGAUUGGUUCAGCGCGAAGCGGACCCGGGGCAACUCCUCUUUUCAUUGGCUAUUCGUAUAGUCUGCCAAAACAUGGCAGAAUGCUGACUAUCGAAAAGCAUAUUGACCAUGUUUUAUAUUGAUAUAGAGGAAAAUUUAUUUUCGAUAUAUAUAUCGUUAUCAUUUUAUCACCUAGCCCUAACCAUCAGUUGUGGAAAAACAAACAAACAUCUGAUUUAAGAGCCUGUUUUUCCUGAAAAAUUAACCUCAAGUGAAUAAAAUUUCUGGGUAGGCUUUAACGUGUUAAAAUUGGUUCAAAAUGUGAAAUUAUUUAGUCGAAAAUAUAAGCCAAUUAGUUAAAAAGGGCUAAUCCUCUAUAUCUGAGAAGACAGAGACAGAACAAGAAAAACAAAUAAAUAAAUAAAAACAAUAUUUGUCAAUUAAAGCUCCUGUGUGGAUUUUCCCUGGUUAUAAAACACAAUGCAAUAUAAAGCUAUGUCCCUUUUGACCUACUAGAAUAAACAAGACCACCAGCAGCAAGACUGAUCAUGUUUUCAUUGACAUUUCUAAUACCUGUAACCACUGGGAUAAAGGUGUCAGUGACAUGAUUUAAAUGUCCACAGGGGGGCGCCAAAAAUCGACACAAACAUAAAGUUCCUCACAGGAGUUUUAAGUAAUGAUUUUAGCGUAACAUUGCAAAAAAACAUGAUUUUAACUCUUUUUAAAAGCAGAAUUACUCGUCUCUUUUUCCCUCAAAUGAUCAGUGCAUUACCCCUUUACGUACUCCACCUCAAACCUCUGUUUACUCGUACCGUUUACACUUUGCGAAAUGUAUCUGCAGAUCAAUGUGACCACCAUCUUUGUGUAAUUAACAUGAGUAAUUACUGUGCUUAAUUUACAGAGCCACCCAAGGUUCAUAAUGGGGCUGCAAAACAUUGACCCAUGACAAUUGAUUGAUCCCUCCUUCUUUUAAAACCAUGCCCCUGCUAAUGACUAAGUAAUGAGAAGAUAGUGUGGAGCUAGGGUGGCUAAUACAGCCUUCACUCCUCAUAUCCAGAUUGGCUGAUCUCCCCCCUCCCCCCUGUCUUCUUUUUUUCUUCCUCCCUCCUCCUCUUUCCAUGUUUUCUGCAAUGGUGUCCUCCUCUUUCCAUGUUUUCUGCAAUGGUGUCAGCUCCUCGCUUAGAGGCCCCUCUCCCUCGUCCUCCGCGUGUGUUUGUCUGCACGCAUCUUGUGCACACCGCUCAGUAAUCAGCCACACAGACUCGCCUUUGGUGGCUGGAGACUGAUUCAAUAUUCCACUGGGUAAUUUAUGCAGAACUAAUUCUCUACAGGAAUGGAAGGGCUUGGAGGAAGGCUGAAAGAGAGAGUGAGAGAGAGAGAGAGAGAGAGAGAGAGGGAGAGAAAAUGCAGGGAGGAAGAAAUCUGUGGUGAAAUAAUUAUCCCCUGUGUCACUGUAGCAACAUUCUGUGAAGUUGAUGUCAAUAAAAUAUUGAGCGACACAAUCCAUUUCAAUUUUACCUCAAAAAAGGAUGCUGCAGAGAGAAGGUCUGGUGGCUGCAGGAAUGAGGAGCACACACACAUGUUUUGGUUGAGCACAGCGAGGCGGUGGCUGGCGACGUGUGCUGCUUACAGACUGGCUGGGAAGCAUAUCAUCGCCUGUAGUCAUUUAACUUGUCAAAACAGCAGGGCUCCGUGUCUCCUCAUAUUUGGAUUUAGUGAGUUUGAAUAACUGAAGAAUAAAGCGGAAGAGGAUGAGAUGAAAAAUGAAAUAAGAGGGGGAGCUUCCCAGGAGAGCCAUUGGGAGCGCGGUAUAGAUCAUGGUCAUUUGUGACGGGUGGGUUUGUAAUCAGAGCUCCGUGUCAGAGAGCAUUCAUGUGAGGAUGUGUUUUCUGACGGCUGGGAUGGAGAUGAGUUUCAGUGUAUGCUCCUCACAACAUGUAUUGAUCGAUCUAGUAUACGUUGUGUACUGUGAGUGUCACAAAGCAGUUACUUUUAGAGUUCUUAGAAAUGCUUGUUUGAGAGGGCACAGAUUUUGGAUUAUUUCAAUUAGCUGGAAUACUAUAAAGCAUAAUAUCCUGUUUAUAGCAGGACUGAAAGCGCUCUAUAAACACCUCACUUUGACAGGCCCAUAAUGAAUAAAAUUGAAUUUGGUUUCAAGGUGGUGUUAAACCUUUUUAUAAAUGGAUCCCAAUAAGAAACCGUCCCGUGUUAACAGCAUUUCUACCCAACAUCUUGACUCACAAACUCAGAGAUAAACAGUUCUUCUUUGUGAAUCUCAAAGUGAAUGACAGCAGAGUUUGUUUUAAGGAGAAACACUCGAAAGAAUUCAACAUAAUUCACUGCUAAGACAGUAGAAAGGUAUGCAACGCAAACUCAUAAAAAUUCAGUGACAAACUGUGUGAAGCGGAGAUUUUCCAGAGCGGGGAGUGAAUUAAAACUCUAAAAAGUCUGAUGUGCUUGGACCAGAAGAGGAGAGAGAGAUGUGAGGCAGACUGACAACUUUUUAAUGCGUCACGUCGCUGUUGUGAUUAGAUUUUUAGAUGCACAAAAGAAAAAAAAACGACCUGAUUAGAUCACCUGCCAUAUAAACACUUGAACCAACAGCUUAAAUCACAAAGAUUUUAUUAUUAUUUAGCAUGAUGCACUAGAACUCAAGAGUUAUUAAUAAUGGAAAAAGUCCUCAAUCUUUAAUAGACUUGUUUAUUUUGAAGGGAAUCUAUUUACUUUGUGAAUUAAUUUCCUCAUUAUCAUGAAAUGAAUAAUCAGCACCAACAACGAUUACUUUAACUCAAAAGCACCCCAGCUUUUGGUCUUAUUUGGGAUUCAGAGCCACACAGAUAAAGGGUAAACAAUGUCAAAUUGGUUUGCAAAGCGUGGCUCAUACUAGCAGACAGAGCCAGCGCCGCCAUCUUUGCAAGAUAAUGUCUACAUGCCUGGACUGGUAGCACUGGUUGAAGCUUACACCUUCAUUACAAGGAUUAAAAUACUGGCGGAUUGUGUUGCACCGCAAGACAUUAUCUGUGCCUGUUUGAAUCCGGGUAGUAAAGCCUUAUAGCAGCUUUAUAGCAGUAACCAUUAACUUAAACUACAGUUUAUGGACUGCUGUUUUGAAGUUUUGACAAAACAUAUUACUGGUACUGUCACAAUGAAAAUAUUUAUUAUAACCGAUUAAUAACCUUGGCGCCAGCUAGUUAGAGUGAUGAGGUUUGAUUAUUUAUGCCUACUUUGCACUACUCAAAAUAAUGUAGUAGAUGUGGGUUUUGAACUACCCAGAACACAGUCAGUGAAGAAUCAAGUGGUUCGAGUGCAACUGUCAACUAGCGCCCCACGGGCACCAACAAUAAUAAUAAUAAUAUCUUGCAUUUGUAUAGCGCCUUUCAAGAUACCCAAAGCGCUUAACAACACACUACAAUAAACAUAACUAGAUACCAAAAGGCUGGAUAAACAAGUGUCGCUUCAGAGCAGACCAACAGGCCCUAGCAGUGUCGCGCCACUACCUCUGUAAAACACCUCCCCAGUGCACUUUGAAAUUUUGUAGGGGGCGCUAUGGAGCCAUUUUUAGUUGGAUCUCCAUUUUGACAUUGGAACCCUUUUUGUUCUGCUUGGGGUCCAACAUAACUGUAAUUGAUUCUGUAGGUUUGAGUCACACUCAGGAGCGAGACUUACAUUUUGAAAUUAUGAAGAGGGCGCUAUGGAGCCAUUGUCAGUUGACAUUGAAGCCCUUUCUGUUCGCUUUUGGGUUCAACAUUAGUGUCCUUGAUCCUUGAUGCACCCCAAGUACAGACAUUGUGGUUCUCGAUGUAGGCAGGCCCUCAUCCACUCUCACUCCCAGUUUGCUGCUCUAUCCACUAUUGUAUCCUUUGAAUAAAGACAUACAAGCCCAAGAAAAACAUUAUCAUUACCGUUUAAGACUGAGCCAAGGCCCUCAACCCAUUCUGGAAAUAUAGCAAAAUAAACUUAUUUGUCCAACUUAUGUAAUCCUUAUGGGAACAAAUAGUCAUCCCUGACUCCUGUUGGUGAAAUUAAACUGCACUUCCGCACUCGUGUGUUAAAUUAUCAUAGCUUUCAUUGAUCCCUGAGUGCAUGCCUGGUGCUGAAACAGCCAGGAACAAAGUGGAAAUAAACACACCGAUGAAUAUUAAACACAGAAUAUUUUCAUCAUGUCAGCACACUGGCUCCCAUUGCUCCUAAUGACCAAAAUCAAAAUAUGAGUCUACAGUCAUAGUUGUAUAAAUCUAAACCGUGUGUCUAGAAAGCACGCUGUUUAUAUCUAGGAGCUACAAAUAUGAAGAGCUUGGUUUUCCAAAAAAUCACACAGAAUUUGCAGCGAGUCCACAAGCAGGGAAUCAUGUUCUCGUUUCUGUCUGUUGCCUCAGAGGACUCCCCAGCACUCUCGUCUCAGACAUCUCAUUAUUUUGCAUCUUCGUCAUUCUUAUUAAAGCAAUAUAUCUUAACUUGGGGCCAGAGCUCGCCCAUGUAGUGGAAUACAUACAUGUCAAAACAUUAGCAGCGUGUGUGAAACUGCGCUCUGUCCUGCACUCAGGAGAGCCAUGUGCAAAAUGAAUAAUUUAUCCAAAUGAAUUAUAAUCCCAGCAUCUCCCCACCAAGGCUUUUGUCUGAGCAAGAUUUCUGCUCACAUUUCACUUCAUACAGUCGGCCUUGCAUAAACUAGAUACCUCUCUGGACAGAUUUGCAUAGAAACACCCUGCAAUGUGGUGAAAAGGGAGCAAUUAGGAUUCAUGACGGCGCCUCCCCUCCGGAUGCUCUGCUGCCAUGUGAGACGGCGGCAGCUGAUUGAAAUGGAAGAGCAUGGCCUUGUUCACGCACCUCUGUCUUCCUUCUAUCUCUCUCUCCUCCAGGUCCGGCCUGUUCCUCCUUCUCCUCCCCUCUUCCCUUCAUCAACCUUUUCUCAUUGUCACCCUCCGCCGCCAAAGUAUAGAUUAGCAGCCGCUCAGGGCUGUUUGGAACUUUUUCUAAAGAGCCAGAGGGAAGGAACCUCUCAAGCAGCAGGUUAACAACAUCAUCAAACACGAUGUGAUUAGUAGUUAACGGAUGCAGAGGGUCACGUUGUGCAGUUGUUUGAAACAGGUGAUGGAGUCCUUGCUGUUGGUGUCUGGCUGAUCGGAGCGUGUGGGAGGUGUUUGACACGAAAGGAGGCUUCCAGCUCGCAGAAGCAGGAACAGAUGGUGCUGGAAAAUGAGCCACCUCUCAGAAGCAUUGAAACCCCCUCCAACGACCCUCCCCACACGCUCCCUCCUUCUCUCUAUCUUUCCUCCAUAAAUGAACCACCCUUUUUGCCAAGAUUAUUUAAGAGCCCUUCUUAUUGCUCAUACAAGUGUCAUCCUGCUUUAAAUCAAACUACGCUAGAAAUGAGCACCAGGGAUGAGGAUGUCUGACAUAUUUUCUUCGUACUGGGUACACAAGGUGCUUUGGGUCAUCUGCCAGUACGAGUUUUUGUUCACCUGGAUGGAGCCAGCAGAUGGCAGGGUAAGGUUUGAGACUCCUUAGGGAAAGACCACAGAAAGCCAGGAAACACAUUUCUUGAAGCACUUACUGGCUGUGCUCCUUUAAUCUGUCACAGAUAAACGACAACAUAGUGUCAGAAGGAUUUAUACAAGUAUGUCGAUGUAUGUGAUCUGUGCGACAUGACAGAGUGCAGCUGUUGUAGCAUGCUUUCUUGUUCUUGGUAUGUUGGCGCCACGUGAAGGAGGGAAUAUAAUCAUGGUAGGAGUGUCUGUAUCAGAGAAAGACAUUUAAGUCAAGAAAUAUUCUUUAAAAAUAGAAAAAAGUAAACUCUUUACCCAGAUGUCUACAUCUCUUCGCUACAUCCUGCACAAGAGAGAGGAGCCAUCCACCAUCGUUGUUGUUUGGUCCAUCAAGGUGUAAUGAAGUGGAUGAUCCAUGGUUUUUAGAAUGGAGUAAGUGAGUGAAGUUUGUGGGUUAGCGCCAUAGGAUGUUGAGUCUGUAUCCUAGCAACAGUAUGAUGGAGAACAUCACACGGAACUUCAGCUGUUGCCUUGGGUGGGAUGUAAACAAGCAUUGUUACGAUAUGACUGAACUCCCUUGGAACAUAAUACAGUUGAGGAGCAACUGCCAACAGUUCAAUAUCUUGACAACACAACUUUUCCUUGACAGUUACCUCCAAUUUCCACCGCAUCCGAAACGGCUACGAAAAGGCCGUAUCCGCCAAUCGCAGCUGAUCAUUACCGUUCAAGUUAAGGUGUCCGUUUCCAUCGGCUUCUUUCCAAUCCACUACGGAUCAGCGGACGCCUCAGCUGAUUGCAAGAGUUGUAUUUUUUUCUGGACGCCACAUUAUGCCGCAUAAAGUCCACACAGAUUAGUCUGUGCUGGCAAGGAAGUCGGGCACAGACACAAAAUAAAACAUCCAGCUUCUUUUCAAAAUUCACUGUUUCGGAUCGGAGCCAUUCUGGAUGGGAUGAAAAUUCGGGGUUACAUAUGAAGAGCCACACCAUCCCUGGUCAACAAACAAAGCCAGACCCACUCCUUUAAUGGGAAGGGUUUGUUUUUGUUUAUAGUAAGUUUGUAGUCCAAGUAGUAUCAAUAAAGUACACAGGAACCGGCUUUGGUGGAUGCAAGACUAAUAGUCUGUGUUUUUGGAUUUCAAAGUUUGGAGCAGUAAUCUCAAAUUUAAUUGCAAACAAUCCAAAACAAUACAGCAAAAAUCACAAAGUAAAGCUUUUUAUUUGAAUCUUUUUUGUAUGAUGAUAAAAUAUAACCCAAAUAUUCUGAUUGUUUUUGAGUUUGAUGGUAGAAAAAUGAGACAGCCUCAUUUAAAAGGAGUCCAGCCCAUAUGUUAAGUGUAGCCUUUUAAUUCCAGUUUUAUCAGUUCAGCUAAUGUUGCUUUAAACUAAACUUCAACUGCAGAGUUAAAGUGAUGGUUAAGACACUUUUGUAUAAAUUACCUAUAGUCAGCUUCUUUACACUUUGAAAUAAUCUGACUUUUCUCUGGAAAAACUUACCUCUAAAGUCAUAUUUUAUGUUAAAGGAUGUCAAAAUACAUAAUUUGGAGGUUAACUGUAUCAUUUCUUACCUCAGUUUUAAAAGAUGAAUAAGCGUUUUGUUUGAGCUGAAUGAAAUCGAUUGAUCACAUCUCUGAACUGGUUGUUUUAAACCAAAAAAAAAAAAAAAACGGAUUUCAUAAAGAAGCAGGGAGCUAAUGAAGAGAACACUGCACAGUAUAAUUAAAGGGUAUGUGCUUAAUUCAUGUACUCAUUUAGUAUUUCUAUUUCAGCUCCGACUCUGAUGUGUGAUCAUCACAGCUGGAAGCCAUUUCUCUUUCCUGUGCAGGGAAAACGGGGCAAUGUGAAUAUCACUAAUGUUUUAUAAAGGUGUUUUAUUGUAGAAUUCCAUGCAGGGCAGAAUCAUCCUCACUCACUGUAUUAGUUUCAAGUUUAUAUUAUGCAAAUAAACUACAGCAGAAGAUUAGGGAGUCAAAGCUGCAUAGUGAUUCACAGCUCAUUGUAUAAUUGGUUUAGUAUAACAUGCAAUGAAUGAAGCGGUAUUGCACAUUCAUUUGUGUAAACAAGAAGAGUUGAACUCCAAAAUGAGUCACGCUGAUGAGAAUUAAACGAUUCAGUUUACUGUCUCAUUAUGAAAGGAAAGCUUUUAAAGCAUUUUAAACUCUUUUAUGUUAAAAGUGAGGCUUUCUGUACCGCUGGCAUUGUAGUUGGCUUCAUUCAGCCGACUGUGAGCGUCUUGUGUUUCAUUCCAGUCAUGUUUGCUCCCCUCCUGAGCUCCUGUCUCCUGCAGCAAUCUGUCUGAAAAAUGCAUACAUAACAUCCUGUGAAAAUAGCUUUCUGCAGGGACUCCACUAAAAAGCAGCGCUGCAUCAAAUGUUCCUGUCAUUCUCCGCUAGGCCGAGUUGAUGGCACAACAUUUGCAUACUGCACAAUCUGAGAGAUCAGAGUUAUAGGAAAAGUGUGUGUGUGUGUGUGAAUCUGCGUGUAAUAAUGCACACCUCCUAGAAUCUUAUUUUUCUUUUACAAAGGGUCACUUCACCUAAAUCAAAAAUAGACUUUGCCUUUCAGCUGUUCUCAGAGAUUUGUCAGUCAAAGUUCUUUUUAUAGUUGAUGGUAUGUUUUCAAUCCUACGAUGCGUCUCUCUCUAUUUUUGACUCAAAAAUCUUUCAGCUUUGUCGUGUAGAGCCUGUGGCAUUAGAUAUUGGGGCAGGGAUCUCAAAAUCUCGUUAUGUAAAACUAUAUGGUACAUAAGGUUUUACUUGUAUAAAUAUCAAGUUAUCACACACAACAGAGUAUGAGGGCCCAAUUAAGAAAAGAAAUUUAGACUUUGAGAUGAAAGUCGUUAACUAACGAGAAUAAAGUCAUUAGUAGCGAGAAUAAAGUUGUAAUUAAGUAAUAACUUAAGAAAUGAUUUUACUCUGACUUAUUCUAGUAAUGUUUAUAUUACAAAUUUAUUCUCAUGAGUAACGAUUUUAUUACAACUUUUUUCUUGUAAGAAAUAAUUUUAUUAUGACUUUAUUCUCGUAACGAUUUUACUACAACUUUAUUCUCAAACAUAAUUACUUUAUUAGGACUUUGUUCUCGUAAGUAAUGAUCUCAUUACAACUUUAUUCUCGUAAAUAAUGAUUUAAUGACGACUUUAUUCUUGUAAGUAACGAUUUUAUUAUGACUUGAUUCCUGUAAGAAAUGAUUUUUAUACGACUUUAUUCUCGUAACGAUUUUAUUACAAUUUUAUUCUCGUAAGUAUUGAUUUUAGUAUGACUUUAUCCUUGUAAUGAUUUUACUACGACUUUAUUCUCGUAUGUAAUGACUUUAUUACGACUUUUUUCUCUUUAGUCAUUUCUUUAUUACGACUUUUUUCUCUUUAGUCAUUUCUUUAUUACGACUUUUUUCUUGUAAUUACUUUAUUUCAACUUUAUUCUUGUUAGUAAUGCCUUUAUUCUUAUAAGUUAACAACUUACAUCUCUAAGUCUUACUCUUUUCUUUUUCUUAAUGUGGCCCUAAGACUCCGUUGUAAUCACAUGUGAGAGAAAAGUGUGGAAUUGUAUUAAUUAAGUGAACUGCACCUCUAAUGAAGCCUGUUCAAAUGCUGGGAAGGCCUUAAUGAGUUCAGUGUAAGGGCUUCAACACCAGGUCUCUGUCAUGGGUUGACUUAGUUUGCAUAGAUUUGUGUAAAUUGCUCACACAUGUAUCACCAAAAUUUCUAAUGCCUGGUCCAUUUUAAGACCACAAGGGGUUGAAAACCUGAGAGACCCCCCACAUGGUGAUGUAUUUGUGUGGCGGUCAACACAGCACACCACACAUGGAUACAAUAAACCAAUAACCAGAAUCCAGACUCUUAGAUCUAUUGUUCUUGGUCAAACGUGACUUUAGAGUUAACAAAGCAAACACUGGGAUGAAUGUCAGGUGAAAAUAUUGCAGGCUGCUUAGCAUCCUGGUACAUCUAGGUUGUUUAGAGCUGUGUCCCAAUUGUUUGGCUUCACAUUUCUACUCUAACGUAAUGUCUUGUUAUUGUGAUAUUGUAACACCUGCACAGUUUGAGCUUAAUUAACUAGAAGCCUCAUAAUAAAAAACCUUAUAAAAUCGUUUCCACCAGCGAAACAACAACAACCAGCUCUUGAAUGUGUAUGCCAUUGGCCAAAAAGACAAUUAAGCAGCAAGGAGGGUUAUUUCAUUACAGAGUCCUCUCCCUGGUGGAACAGGAGUGUGGUAGAUUCGAUUCUCUGGCUGUGAUUACCAAGCCCUCGGCUAUGAGAUAGAUGACUAUGAAUCAAUUGUUUUCAACAGGACUCUCACUGGGGCUUUGCAGUACUUAAAAGCGAGAAGGAGUCCACAGAAAAAGCAUCUGGCCUUGUUUAAACAGACCAUCAGGUGGUCUCAGUGACUCCAUGUAGCACCUUAAAUAUUCAUGCCAUUGUGCUUAAAGAAAAGCUAUUUUGCUCUCACGGUCUCUGCCAUGCUUUAGUGAGCAGUCACCAUGACUGGAUGGGAAAUGUUUAGUCUUGCUGUGUGUCAUCCAAUCAGUGUUUAAUAUGUGCACAAGACAGUACUAAUCAGGCCGGGCUGCUCCUCAUUAUGGGUUGACGUAAGGCCUGUAAGAGGUCUCUUGGUCGUGCCUUUGCAAAGUUAAAAAUCAGACAACAAUACUUAACAUUGUGUCUACAAGAGAGGAGGGCAAAUAUCUUCAGCGAGAUGAAAGGUCUUUGAAUCUUGUGGUGCACAAUGCUCUACACUCAACAACGGCAUCUCAUCUCAGUCUACUGUGAUUACAUUCUGGAUAACCACCUACUGAUUGUACAUUAUCCUACUUAUCACCUGGCUACUAACUUAAAAUACCAACAAGUUGACAUUAUAUAUUGAUUUGAAGGUGACAUUUUUCAUUUAUAGAUGAUUUUCAUUCACAUGUUCUCAGUUGCUUUGUGACCGUUUUCUUCAAUUUGGUUGAUGUCACCUUGAGCAUCUUGUGCGUUCCUCUCCAUAUCUCCUUCUUCUGGAUGCCCAUCUUAAACUUUAUUUUGUUGAAAUAAAUGAGGGGGAUAUCAAAAAUAUCAUUCAGGUUGUCUAUCCUGCCAAUUUGAUACGCUAACAAAAAGAUUUGCAACAACUCAUGUAGUUCCCUAAAGGCAGCUGGCAUUGUAACAAUGGUGAGAGAUGAAAUGCGCCGUAAACUCCUUCCCAUGGGUCGAUCUGAUAUGACUUGUAAUCUGGUUGUCUCUGGCAUUUCUCUUGCUAUUCAGAAUUUAUGACCCCUGCUAUGAUGUUCUGACCUAUCAGAAUCAAGUAUUUUUAAACAGCCAGGUAAUCAAAAAUAAAUAUAGGCAAUAAGGUUCUGUUGGACAAUGGGCAGUGUUAUCCCGAUUGUCAUGUCCAUGGUUGAUUUAUUUGGAGCCAGAGAAUUGUCCAUGAUAACAUGGUAAGAUAAUAUUAUUUUUUAAAGCUCCCAUCAGGAUCUUUCAGUUUGUGUCAACUUUGGUGCCCCCUGUGGACAAAACACUGGUCUAGACCCUCUCAUGCCAGUUUAAGGCAUUAAAAAUUAAAGUAUAAAAAGCACCAAUCUUGUCACUGAUAGCCUUAUUUGCUUUUGAAUAUCAUGAAAAAACAUCAGUUUGAAUUUCAGUGCAUUUUACAAAUGUCCAAAACGCCUCAUAGGAGCUUUAAUAGUGAUGUUUUUUAAAGUAAGGCUUUUGCGGAGGCUUGUCUCAACUUUCUUAUCAUGCUAAGAUUUCUGCCCAAGAGGCGAAGGCUUUACAGUACGCUCACUAAAGCACACGUACAAGUCAUAUUUCCCUCUAUAGAUCCCUCAUGCCACCACUUGACUCAUCACUUUCCUCUCUCCGGCCUUGCUCGACUCAGGCUUAAUGUUUUUUUUCUCCCGUGAAAUGGAUCUACUUGACUAGAGGAAACCUGGGCGCUGUCCUCCCCACCGCCACCGAACAACCUCCCCAGAGUGAAGUUCUUUUUCUCUGACACAUUCAAUACCAUCCCACACUAUUGACCUGACAUAUUGACGUGAAGGGGCCUGGCUGCUAAGAGGCAUCUGGCUGCAGCAUAUUGAGCAUGUAGUCGCUUGGCACUGCAGUCCAGAAGAGAUGAGGGAGACAAAAAAAAGCAGAAAUAAACGACAUGAAUGAUUCAUUUUGGAAUCAAAGCGCACAAAAUGUAACACUUGCUGUGGGUCAGUCAGUUAGUCAGUGUGCGAGUAUCAACAACAGGUGGCGCUAGUUCACCAGUCAUCUCACUCAAAUCUGGUCUGAAAGAUGACACACUCAUGAGUAUCAGUGCGCAAUGAUGACAGGAGAGUGAAUGAAAACAUGCGCCGCUACACCGUGUGCAGUGAGAAAGGACAUAUUUUCUUCUCCAGUGAUGAACAGAGGCUGACACCGAAAUGAGCCACACCACCCCCAGCAUGUACACACUUGCACACGCACGCACGCUUAUAUAUAUAUGCACACACGCACUACCACCAAUCCCAUCAUCUUCUCUCCCUCCCCCAUCCCCUUGAGGAAUAAGAGGGGAUUAUGUCAAAGCAAUUCGAUUGUAUGAGUGGAGGUAAUGAACUCUUCCCUUUUUUUCUAUUCAUUUGCGUAUUAAACUAUUUAUUUGUACCUGUUAUCUGCAGAUAAUAAUCGGAAACUUAUGGAUUUCAGGAUAAGAAACUAUCAAUGAGUAAAAAAUUUAAAUAAAACAAAACUUGAGGCUUUCUUUUCAGCGAGAGGCGUGAUUGAUUGGUGUUUGUUUCCCUUUCCAUAUCUCUCUUAGAGAAACACAGUGUUGAAGGACACUCGAAUGCUUUAUUUGUUCAGACACAUAGCUAAUGUUUUCCACUCCAACAAUAAGAAAGCCACUCCUUGUUGAGAGGCAGCUCUUUCCUAUUUAGGUCAGUGGUCUCUAGUCCAUUUCAUGUUCUGUUGCCUCUACAGUGCCUAAAUUGCCCAGCAGGCAGGUGCCAUUAGAGCAGUUUGUUUGCAAGGUAAGCAGCUAUGAGAAGUGACAGCAGUAGAAUUACUAAUGCACUUUGGCUGUCAUUUCCCUCUGAAAGCCCCUGCAGGGAGGGCCUGAUUAAAUUGAUAUUCAACCUCCUGCAUGUUGUGGGCCCAGGCUUCAUUAGCAUAGGGUUUAGAUGACACAGAGAGAGGGACAGCAUUAGUGUUGUAAGAAGCAGUUAGACAUUGUGCUGUAACUAAUUUUCCAAUUAUAAUGGGUGCCUACAAUGUAGCAUAUUAAUGAUUCAAAUCACAUUAUUAACAGAGCAUGUAUGUUUAAAAAUCAAGCGAGAGAGUGUGAGUGUGAAAAAAUGAGACGUUUUACACAGUGGCGUUUCACAGGAAGUGUCAGAGCACAUUAAAGGAGAUUAAAACAAAAAGACUUUUAUCAGCCAAAUGCCACGUGGUAAAACAGCAGAAAUAGCAUCAGAAUGAUGUCAUUUAGACCAUCUCACCACACAGAAGCAAACCCAUGUCAGAAAACCAUCACUGUAUAAUUCUGAGCUGUGCCAUCCAGUAAAUCAUGGUGUAAUGUAGGGCUGGGCGACACGCACUAAAAUUUAAAUCUGAUUUAUUUUAAAAAACUUGACUUGAUCGAUUUUACUUUUUUCCUAAAUAUAAAACUUCAAAUGAUGAAGACAUGACUCUAAACACUGUGGCUACAGUUGCUGAAGAGAGUGAGGGAGGUGGUAUUGAGUGUUAACAACAGGAGCCCCAGGGAGCAGUAGAGGAAGUUAAAAGGACUAACUUAAUUUUCAUUUUUGUAAAUCUUACAAAGCCACAAAUACAAUUUAUCAAAUUAAUCGAUUUAGCGUUCAGCCCUUAUAUAUUCUAGUGAAGGUCAAGGACACUUAAAGAGCUAUCUGGCGUAUUAAUGUAGGUUGAGAAAUAUCAACAAAAGUGCCUUUUAUCAUACCUGAGCUUUGAAUUUCACAUCAGAUAUUGGGGAGGGAAACACUGAAUGAGCUAGCUUCUUGUCUUUCUUGCUAGAAAGCUCAAAACUUUAUUGCUGAAGCUGAAAAAGGUCACACUUUGUCUCAAAGAUACUUCUCAACCACAUCUUAUCGAAACUACUCAAAUAAAAAGAAUAGUUUACAACAUGGACAUAAUCUCAAUUAUGUUACUCAGGGGUUUCCGAAGUGUCGCUUUGAAGCCUAUAGCUAUAUCAAAAAUGCAGAUUUAACCAAACUUUCGGACGACCUUACUACGGGCAAAGAGAUGGAGCUGAGAUCUUGACUCUUGGCUAGCAGGUACAGGAUGUCUGUCAAGUCGGCUAAGCCCUUAUUUUUAGUCUAGUUUUGGUCAGUGCCAAGUAGAUAACACAUCAUACUUCUAAAUUUAGUGAAUUAAUCAGUCAGACAUUGGUAUCAUGAUUGCUUAUGUUUAAAUCUAGUGUUUCACUCUCUUGAUACUUGAACUCAAAUAAUAUCGGUUUUACUGACAUUAAUUGGGUGAUUCAGUUCAGACUCGCCCAGCUGUCUGAUUAUUUUUUUAAGGUAACGUAGAGGAAUAACGCUUUCUUCAAGUCAAACUUUCUUUCUUUGGCUGUUUUUAUUUCCUUUGACUUCUCUUUGUGGGGUGGGGUUAGGGGGUCCAGGCUCAGCCCCUUAUGUCUCCAGGUCUGAGACACACCCCUGGACAGAGUCACUGAACAGACAGGUCACUACGCUCUCAGUUGCAUCCUUACAAUGAAACUCAGCCUGUUACAGGAGUCGAUUUCUCACAUUUUAGGUGAUUGUUUACAAGUGCAGUGUGGAAACCUGAAAGGAUUCUGUCUCAUUUUGGCUCUCUCUGUGAAACGGUUUAACCAGAUUGAAAUUAUCACAGUGGGUUUUACAUUACCAUGGCAAUAUCAAAUAGUGUGAACCCUGUAUUGUUGUCUAAGGAGGCCAGCAUCCCUUACCCUUGUCAAUACCCACAAGCCCCUCAGCUAGCUUCCUGUGUACUGUAACGCUGUACAGUAAUAUAGUGGAAAAUGCUCACUGACCUCUCUUUAGCCUGAGUGGUUGUUUUACUGGCCGCACGCUGGGACAAGCUGUCUGUCAAGUGUGCACUGAGUGUGGACAAAUGCAGCCUGACCUGAGCCGCUUUCAUGGGCGGACAAAGAUCAGGUAAGACUGAUGUGGUUUACAGAAGAUUUAGUGGACUGUUUAUCCAGUUUCCUGGCAACACGGAUGUACAGAUUAGAGGAUUUGUGCAGAAACAGAAGCAAAGAAACGCACACUCGAGGUGUUAAUUUGCAUUACGAUAUAUUUCAUGCAAAUGGGCUUAAAUUGUGUUAGCUUCAUUGUUUGUGUCAUGUGGUGUGGUAAUAAUCUUCCUGACAGUGUCCCACAUGAAAAAACCCAAGAAAUCCUCCGAGCUCCCUUCAGCAUUAGCGGCAUGUUAACAUCACAAAACUGUGGUGAAUGCUGCAGUUAGCACUGAGCAAAUAUUUAAAGUCACUGCUAAAGACAUCAUCACCACUGCAAAUAAAUGAAUUGAAUUCUGCUUAUAACCUCCCCCCCUUGCUCUUACUUAAAUGGAUAUUUGAUCCCCGGGGAACACCUAGCGCUUUGCAAUCUGCGUCUGCUUCCUGGUGGCGCUUCCCCAUCUCGGCGAGAAAGCAAGCAGUGACUUUGAAGUCUGUGAAGCUGAUGAUAAAUAUGCUAAUGUGUCUGGAGGUGACUUGACGUGGCGGAUAGCGCUGUGAGGGGAAAGUGCCACCCAUCGUUUAAUAUAUAGAGAGAAGGGAGCAGGGAGAGGAGAGGCGGCGAGGAUGGAGGAGGAAGCAUCUUGCUGCUGAUAAGGCGUAACACGGAUAAACAAAGGGAGUGAAAGAGCAGUUAAAGAGUUGUUUUGUCUGAUUUAGGGCAGUGACCCGGGGAUGUAUGAGUAGCAUGAAGACUUAAUGGUGUAGAUAAUAGGCAGGGGUCAAAGAGGGAAGAUACACUAAACUAGAUGACAGUGAGUCUUCAAAAAAACUCAUCGUCCACAUGAUAUUUUUACCCUUGUAGAAUACAGUCUUAGCUUUUGAAGGGAAUACUAGUGGAAAUAAUGAACUCUUCACCCAGAACUGUGUUGGCUGGCUAAUAUUGAGUGUUUGGUGCAUAAAAUUAUGCCAAACUGAGCUGCAAAAAUAUUUCAAUUCACAAUUUAUCUGUGACUUGUAUAUUGUAGGUCAUCACAGGGGGAGGAGCAUGUCCGUGUCACAUCUAAGAACAGUGCAAAAUCGACUUCGCUUUCCAUAUAUUGACUGGCAAACUUCCAAACAGAGCGUACAUCUACACAAAGAAAAGCGAUUUGUGGAAGUUUCUUAACAUUUCAUAAAUUACAUGGCAGGUCUGGCCCCCUGUGGCGAAUACAUUUACUACUGACAAGAAUCUCAUACAAACCCGAUUCAAACAAACCAAACUUAUUGAUUAUUUUUUUAGCCGUCAGUGAAGAACAAUCCUGACUUUUUUAAAAACUCUACGGCAAAAAAAGUUGUUUUAGUAAUAGACAAAUCAAACGAUGUUUCUAUCUGUACAAGCAACAAGGGAAACCAUCACAGACAUGCACUGUAACGAUCGUUUUAACCCACUCACAAAACAAUGUCAUGGAUAUUGAUCUGAAUGCAACACUUGAAGAAGGUCCGCUGUAAGCUGUACGUCUCUCUGCCAUCAUUAAACACAAUAAAUGAUACUGAGUGUGCUCAAGUUUUUAGGCUCUUUCUGUACAUUUGUGAUAUUCUUGUGCCUGAAGGGGAUUCUUGUUUUGGAGUAUGCGCCUGUUUUGCUUUUUGCUUAUUGAUCUAAAUAUCAAAUCACAUCAACCAGCCCCGUAAGGAGGACAUUUCUUUCUAAAUGGACCAAAUCAAACCACUUUUUUUCUGAUUUAAGAGUUUAAAUUAUUAAUUUUCCUCUGGACAUAAUGUGGAUGAUGAGUCUUUGUAAACAUGAUAGCUUUAUCUGUAAAAAGUUAUUCUGGUAUAGCUUUGGAAAGUUUUUGGCAUAGACCCCAUACAGAAUGGACGCCGUCUGCCUUCUCGCUGGGUGAAGCCACUCCGAGAACAGCACCCUCUGGUGACAGGCUGCAGUAUAGGUCAUAAAUCCCGCCUCCCUUGUGGAGCUGUGGACAAGCUUUAGAAACUUAUUACACAGAAUAUAAUUUUUUCUCCCCACUGCUUGCAAUGUUGACAUGUAGUUAUUGUCAGACAGGUUUGUGCUCAAGUCCUCUUUCUUUCUGUUCAGCUCCGUUUUUAAGUUAUUAGGAGGUUCUUGUUUUCUAUGAUUGACACUUGAUACAGACUAUGGGCGUACGAAGAUUGCGUAACUCACCCGGGGGAUACGCUGUUUGAGCCAAGCGUCAUCAAAGCAACUCUCGGCGCCUCUCUUGCCGAAUGUGUACAAUGCUACUGCGCAAGUGGUGGAGUGCGUACAACUCUACUGCGCAAUGUUGGUUUCAGGAAAUGGAGAAAGAACGCAGAAUUACCGAGAGCUUUUCGGCUUCAAAUCUGUAUACUGGUGGAAGGCGGAACCAAGUUGUCCAUAUACAGUCUAUGAUUUUUGGUCAUUUCAAAUGAUUUGGAUUAAAUUUAGUGGAUGGCGAAAUAAACCAUGACCAUUAUUUGUUGCUAUAGGGAGAAUUUCCUCAUGGGAUUUCUCCUCAGUUUGGGUCUCGUACGAUGAAAAAACAAACAAACAAACAAACUGCAGGUGAAGUUUGAAAGAGCUCUCGACCUCUGUGGGCAGCUGCUCAUCUUUGCUCGAGGCGAACGCUCUUGACUAAGCUAAAAUCAUACAUUCAAAACUAAGAAAUGUCUAUGCUUGGAGGGUUGUAUACACAUGAUAAAGAAUACAUGGAGCACAAAGAGAGAAAAAACACUAUCUCUUGUUUCUGCUUCUAUUUGUAUACGCCAUACAAGAAUUAUUUAUCAUGGGUCCAACAGUGUUACACUACCGACCAUAUUAUCUCGCAGUUUUAUCAUGUGACCCUUUGGAAAGUCCCAGAAGCACUGCAUUAAAACAAUCUCUCAAACAGUUGAAUACAAACUGGGGAAAAUAGAUCAUCACUUUGUUGUAUAAUGUGACUUCAGCUCUCAGGCUUUUCAUGAAUUAUUUAAGAGUGUGGGUGAAACACAUUGAAGGAGAUGCGUAUUUUAAAAUCGAAAACUUCCACACAAAGCGCAAGGCUUAAAAAAGGUACAUGCCAGUUAAUGGAAUUCUGCAAUUCAUACAUUUUAUGCCUCUGGGCUUUUUUUAUUUUUGCUAUUCUCUGCGCACAUAUUACUGUUUACUUCUCUGAGAGAGACCUUCUUCUUGGCCUUCUCCUUCUGUCGAGCUGCUGUCUCUCAGUCUGAACGCAGAUUUGAUACCCUGAAGGUGACAGCGGCAGAUCUGUUGCAGGUGUCUCCAGCAACAUCAGGGUUGUCAGAAAGCAUCACGCCACAUGACUCAGAUCUCUGAGCAGCUUAGACAUAUUUAGGGUACACAAAAACAGGUAGAUAUUCAAAAUUCCAGGCACAUGUCUGAAAUAAAAAAGGGAGUUGUUUGGCGGAAAAUCUUUUGUAUCAUCUAUUCAGUGGCCAAAACCCCUCUAUCAAUAUCUCAAGGUGGUCUUUUGAUAUUAAUACCACAAGAGCAGCUUCCUCUUCAUGUGUGUGGACUGGCUGUAGGUGUCACUGUCGACGUGGCUUUGAGUUCUACCCAGCCGUGGCUGUCGGGGUCCAGAGCGCCACCCAGCCCCCUUUGCAGGAGACGUCGUAAGUCAGAUGUUCAGAAUGCAUGGGGCAUUGUCUGCCUGGAUGUUCGAUGGGCUGGCAGCAAAAGGUGACAUCUGGUGACUAAUGUGCUCAGAUGUGAAUGCAGCUCCCUCCGUUCUCUGGGCAGCAGCUGCUCCGCAAAGGCAUAAAUGAGACAGGGGGAGUGAGGAAGAGAGAGAGCAAGAGAGAGAGGGAAAGAUAGGGGGGAGAGGGGGUGGUCGCCGGGGCCGAGGUGGGGGGCAGGGCUGUGGGUUUGAGGAGCGUGUUUGGUGCAUGUUCACCACGCCAGCCGUCUGACUCUGAGGGGGUGUGUUUAAAGGGGGGGGGUUGGGUAUGUCAUGGGAAAAAUCAAUGACUUUCUGUCUGAUUUUUGAGGAGGUGAAACACGCCGGCCUCCCCCCACCCCGCGCUCCCCGCUGCCUCUCCACGUCCGCCCGCUUCACAAAGAGACCACACAGAUCAACCAGGGGCUUGUUUUGAUCUGCUCUGUGUUUCCUGCAGCUAAGUGCCUCCUAGUCACCGUGUCAGUGGCGGUUUGAGUCAGAGCAUCUCCCCCCCCCCCCAACGCUAAUGCAUACGUUUGAGUCAUAAACUUCGUCAUAAAGGGGUAGAGGAUGUGAUGUGGAUGAUGCAAACACUGAGACACUCACUCCACCUGAAUUCAAAGAAGACCGACUCCUCUUAUUACCUCUGACUGUGUGUGGUUCAUCAACACGUGUCCACUUCUUUAUUAGGCCGUUUGUCAGAAUUCACAAAUCAACCUGGUGAGCACUAAUUGAGAUUUUGACCUUACAAUUCGGUUUGUAACAAGUUGACAUCAGCGGUAGACAUCUCAGAUCUCAUUUCAAACAUUUUCAAACCAUGAAUCGAGCUCAUGAUGGGCUUUGUGAUGUUGACAUCCACUUUUUAUCACCCUCUACAGAGAAAAUAGAAGACUACACACGCUUAGACAUUUAGAUUGUGCAACUGCAGCGAUAAAAAGACCCCGAUUUGAUAACAUAGUUGAUUAGUGACCAUAAACAGUAUAAAAUGAACAUGCUGUGGCCGGCAGUUGUGGGUGUCCCAAUUAGAGUCGGGUGUCCGUUUGAUUCCGGUUCCCAUUCCGAUUCCUCGUUUCAAUUCCAGUUCCUAACGAUUCUCUAUUCCGAUUCUUGUAAAAGGCAGGAUAGUUAAAAAAAAAAAGCAUGGUUUAAAUGAGGGUGCUAACCGGAAUUCUUCUUUUUGGAUAAAGUUUCCGAACUUCUCUAUGAAUUUUUAAAUUAUAUUAACUUUUUAAGAACUUUACUAUGAACUUCUCACAGGGCUUUUUUCAACCAGUAUAUAAAUAUCAAUUUUUGUUGUCAGGUCGUUUUUCUAUGAAAAAGUACAAGGGCUAACAUUAGUUGGAUAUUUAAGUUGACCCACCGUACACAGUACAAUUUGUUUGCCUCUUCAACGUUAGCAGAAGUAAUUUAUUGCCUCAGUUAUCUGAUUCUGGUCGGUUAGCGGAAGACCGGCGAAGCGUGUCAAAGACGGGACACUCAGGUAUUUCUCCUCCAUGAAUCCUGAGGUGUUUAAUCCUGUUGGUCGUUCACCCUCCUUUGCAUUAAAAAAACUGUGUUGCUAAUGUUGCACUGAGAUAAGAGUUCAUUCUUCCUGCUGUCCUCUUCGUCCUCAUUGGUGUUCGGCGGCUUCUUCUUCGUCGGUGUUUAGCCGCGUCUGCCUCGUUGGUGUUCGGCGGUUAUUUCUUCCAGUCGGCAGACUCCGGCGUCGAAACUUGGAAUCGAAACUUUAAAUUUGAAUCGGAAUGUCAGUCCCGGUCCCCAUCGAUGCUCGAGACACGAUGCCCAACCCUAGUCCUGAUACAACUUUUUUACUUCCGAUACGAUACCAAUGUUGUAGCCUUCAGUAAUGGCCAAUACCGAUGUUCGGAUGCUGCUAGCUAGAGGUGCCGGCGCAGAGUCUGGAAUGGAAUGCUUGUUUUGUUUUGUUUUUUCGCUGAUAUCAGACCAAUAUCCUGAUCGGAUAUCAGUAUCGGAUCUGGAUAUCCCUACUUGCACUGAUGGGUGCAGGAGUCCUUGUUGUUCAUCCAGUGUUUCUCAUCAUGACAUGAUACCCUGCUAGCUAUUGUAAUAAUUUUAGCCACCAUAUUAGAUUUGGCUUGAAAAUUACCGAUAGUAUAUGUGCAAAUAUGUGAUGAAUCUUACAUGAAAAGCAAAAUAUGACCCAAAGUUAGACAUUGGAUCAACAUAUUUCAAGAUUUUUGGUCAGUACUUGCUUCAGGUGUGGUGUAAAAAGUGCGGGAAAUUCUUCAAAUGGAAAUCACAGCAUCACAGAUUAAAAAAAAACAACAUCCUUGUAACAAGACAUCACUGCAUCCAUCACUCUGCUGCGAUUUCCCAUGAGUCAAUUGGAUUUGGGGGUAAGAACCUCCCGCUGUAAUGGCUUCAUCUCUCUCCUGUCAGCCAAGUAACCGGGAUGCAUGUCACCAGUGAAAACACGUGAAGUGUUGAGUUGACAGACAGCUGUAUGAGACCCCCCUUUUUUUUUUGCUUUCUGUAUCCAUGUGUGUGUUUGUGGUUCUGUGUGUUUGUGUGUGUGCACCCCAGAGGUCAAUCCAGCGUAAAGGUCCUCAUGACCUCAAGGCUCCUCGCUGUUUUAAACCAGGAAAGGGCCCCUUUGGUUUCGCUCCAGUAAUAAGCAGGGUUAAAAUAUCGUAACUGUAACAAGAUAUGAAACCAGAAGGGAAAAAAAACAUGACAGUUUAAUGCUAAUGUUUGAUUUUGAGAUAUAUUAAUCAAUCACUUCUAAAGUGCUCUUAUGUGACACAUGAACACGCAAUUUCUGUCUCAUAAUCUUGCCCAAAUGAUUUGUAUCCUUUUCUUUCAGCGUGGAGGAUCACAAGGGACUAGUUGUGGAUCAACACCCUCCAACAUGUGGUCAUUCGAGGCAUUCAUAUGGACAUGCUGCUGCUCAGAAGACACUUGAGCCCCACUUAAAAGGCGUCAUGGGCUGCUUUCGAUUAGAGGAGGCGG